GGAGCUGAAAGCUUAAUGUGCCUGAGGAUGAACUCGCGUCUGAUUAGCUAGUUGGUGGGGUAAGAGCUUACCAAGGCGACGAUCAGUAGCUGUUCUGAGAGGAAGAUCAGCCACACUGGGACUGAGACACGGCCCAGACUCCUACGGGAGGCAGCAGUGGGGAAUUUUCCGCAAUGGGCGCAAGCCUGACGGAGCAACGCCGCGUGAGGGAGGAAUGUCUGUGGAUUGUAAACCUCUUUUCUCUGGGAAGAAGAUCUGACGGUACCAGAGGAAUCAGCAUCGGCUA
RNAcentral lists this ribosomal RNA (286 nucleotides) under Leptolyngbya ectocarpi. Its description in RNAcentral is "16S ribosomal RNA". It matches the Rfam family "Bacterial small subunit ribosomal RNA", at positions 196 to 499 of the family's 1533-position model. The record is from RNAcentral. Lineage: Bacteria; Bacillati; Cyanobacteriota; Cyanophyceae; Leptolyngbyales; Leptolyngbyaceae.